UGGGGAAUAUUGCACAAUGGGCGAAAGCCUGAUGCAGCAACGCCGCGUGAGUGAUGAAGGUCUUCGGAUUGUAAAGCUCUGUCUUUUGGGACGAUAAUGACGGUACCAAAGGAGGAAGCCACGGCUAACUACGUGCCAGCAGCCGCGGUAAUACGUAGGUGGCGAGCGUUGUCCGGAUUUACUGGGCGUAAAGGGUGCGUAGGCGGAUGUUUAAGUGAGAUGUGAAAUACCCGGGCUUAACUUGGGUGCUGCAUUUCAAACUGGAUAUCUAGAGUGCAGGAGAGGAGAAUGGAAUUCCUAGUGUAGCGGUGAAAUGCGUAGAGAUUAGGAAGAACACCAGUGGCGAAGGCGAUUCUCUGGACUGUAACUGACGCUGAGGCACGAAAGCGUGGGUAGCAAACAGGAUUAGAUACCCUGGUAGUCCACGCCGUAAACGAUGAGUACUAGGUGUAGGAGGUAUCGACCCCUUCUGUGCCGCAGUAAACACAUUAAGUACCCCGCCUGGGAAGUACGAUCGCAAGAUUAAAACUCUAAAGUGAAUUGAC
RNAcentral lists this ribosomal RNA (545 nucleotides) under uncultured bacterium. Its description in RNAcentral is "partial 16S ribosomal RNA". It matches the Rfam family "Bacterial small subunit ribosomal RNA", at positions 355 to 914 of the family's 1533-position model. The record is from RNAcentral.